CAACCUGAGAGUUUGAUUCUGGCUCAGAACGAACGCUGGCGGCAGGCUUAACACAUGCAAGUCGAACGAUAUAGUGGCAGACGGGUGAGUAACGCGUGGAAACGUGCCUUUCACUACGGAAUAGCUUUUGGAAACGAAAGGUAAUACCGUAUACGCCCUCCGGGGGAAAGAUUUAUCGGUGAAAGAUCGGUCCGCGUUAGAUUAGCUAGUUGGUGAGGUAAGAGCUCACCAAGGCGACGAUCUAUAGCUGGUCUGAGAGGAUGAUCAGCCACACUGGGACUGAGACACGGCCCAGACUCCUACGGGAGGCAGCAGUGGGGAAUAUUGCACAAUGGGCGCAAGCCUGAUGCAGCCAUGCCGCGUGAAUGAUGAAGGCCUUAGGGUUGUAAAAUUCUUUCGCCAAGGAUGAUAAUGACAGUACUUGGUAAAGAAGCCCCGGCUAACUUCGUGCCAGCAGCCGCGGUAAUACGAAGGGGGCUAGCGUUGUUCGGAAUUACUGGGCGUAAAGCGCACGUAGGCGGAUUUUUAAGUCAGAUGUGAAAUCCCAAGGCUCAACCUUGGAACUGCAUUUGAAACUGGGAAUCUAGAGAUCAGGAGAGGUUAGUGGAAUACCGAGUGUAGAGGUGAAAUUCGUAGAUAUUCGGUGGAACACC
Molecule: ribosomal RNA, 653 nt
Filed under: Henriciella sp.
Lineage: Bacteria; Pseudomonadati; Pseudomonadota; Alphaproteobacteria; Hyphomonadales; Hyphomonadaceae
Description: bacterial SSU rRNA
Rfam family: Bacterial small subunit ribosomal RNA
Source: RNAcentral